GACGAACGCUGGCGGCGUGCCUAAUACAUGCAAGUUGAGCGCUGAAGGUUGGUACUUGUACCGACUGGAUGAGCAGCGAACGGGUGAGUAACGCGUGGGGAAUCUGCCUUUGAGCGGGGGACAACAUUUGGAAACGAAUGCUAAUACCGCAUAAAAACUUUAAACACAAGUUUUAAGUUUGAAAGAUGCAAUUGCAUCACUCAAGGAUGAUCCCGCGUUGUAUUAGCUAGUUGGUGAGGUAAAGGCUCACCAAGGCGAUGAUACAUAGCCGACCUGAGAGGGUGAUCGGCCAAAUUGGGAAGGAGACAAGGCCCAAACUCAUACGGGAGGCAGCAGUAGGGAAGCUUCGGCAAUGGACGAAAGUCUGACCGAGCAACGCCGCGUGAGUGAAGAAGGGUUUCGGAUCGUAAAACUCUGUUGGUAGAGAAGAACGUUGGUGAGAGUGGAAAGCUCAUCAAGUGACGGUAACUACCCAGAAAGGGACGGCUAACUACGUG
Molecule: ribosomal RNA, 497 nt
Filed under: uncultured bacterium
Lineage: Bacteria
Description: partial 16S ribosomal RNA
Rfam family: Bacterial small subunit ribosomal RNA
Source: RNAcentral